GAUGAACGCUGGCGGCGUGCUUAACACAUGCAAGUCGAACGGAAAGGCUCCUGCUUGCAGGGGUACUCGAGUGGCGAACGGGUGAGUAACACGUGGGUGAUCUGCCCUGCACUUCGGGAUAAGCCUGGGAAACUGGGUCUAAUACCGGAUAGGACGAUGGUUUGGAUGCCAUUGUGGAAAGUUUUUCGGUGUGGGAUGAGCUCGCGGCCUAUCAGCUUGUUGGUGGGGUAAUGGCCUACCAAGGCGUCGACGGGUAGCCGGCCUGAGAGGGUGUACGGCCACCUUGGGACUGAGAGACGGCGCAGACGCCUACGGGAGGCAGCAGUGGGGAAUAUUGCACAAUGGGCGCAAGCCUGAUGCAGCGACGUCGCGUGGGGGAUGACGGCCUUCGGGUUGUAAACUCCUUUCGCUAGGGACGAAGCGCAAGUGACGGUACCUGGAGAAGAAGCACCGGCUAACUACGUG
This 465-nucleotide ribosomal RNA is filed under the name uncultured bacterium. Its description in RNAcentral is "partial 16S ribosomal RNA". It matches the Rfam family "Bacterial small subunit ribosomal RNA", at positions 28 to 507 of the family's 1533-position model. The record is from RNAcentral.